AUAGUACUUCCUCUGUCUUAAAAUUCUUGUCUUAAAUUUGUCUAAUUAUGAAUGUAUCAAGUCAUUUUUUAGUAUUAGAUAUAUUCGUAUUUAGACAAAUUUAAGACAAAAAUUUUAAGACGAAGAGAGUAUUAU
This is a non-coding RNA of Triticum urartu, 135 nucleotides long. The record is from Rfam. NCBI's taxonomy places the organism in Eukaryota, Viridiplantae, Streptophyta, Magnoliopsida, Poales, Poaceae.